AGGACGAACGCUGGCGGCGUGCUUAACACAUGCAAGUCGAACGGAAAGGCCCGCUUGCGGGUACUCGAGUGGCGAACGGGUGAGUAACACGUGGGCAACCUGCCCUCAGCUUCGGGAUAACUCUCGGAAACGGGUGCUAAUACCGAAUGUUGACAUUUCCUCGCAUGGGGGUUGUGUUGAAAGUUUUUCGGCUGGGGAUGGGCCCGCGGCCUAUCAGCUUGUUGGUGGGGUGAUGGCCUACCAAGGCGACGACGGGUAGCCGGCCUGAGAGGGCGAUCGGCCACACUGGAACUGAGACACGGUCCAGACUCCUACGGGAGGCAGCAGUGGGGAAUAUUGCGCAAUGGGCGGAAGCCUGACGCAGCGACGCCGCGUGAGGGAUGAAGGUCUUCGGAUUGUAAACCUCUUUCAGUAGGGACGAAUUUAGACGGUACCUGCAGAAGAGCACCGGCAACUACGCGCCAGCAGCCGC
RNAcentral lists this ribosomal RNA (472 nucleotides) under uncultured bacterium. RNAcentral's name for it is "SSU rRNA". It matches the Rfam family "Bacterial small subunit ribosomal RNA", at positions 26 to 518 of the family's 1533-position model. The record is from RNAcentral.